This 492-nucleotide ribosomal RNA is filed under the name uncultured bacterium. RNAcentral's name for it is "partial 16S ribosomal RNA". It matches the Rfam family "Bacterial small subunit ribosomal RNA", at positions 29 to 507 of the family's 1533-position model. The record is from RNAcentral.
AGUGAACGCUGGCGGUAGGCCUAACACAUGCAAGUCGAACGGCAGCACAGUAAGAGCUUGCUCUUACGGGUGGCGAGUGGCGGACGGGUGAGGAAUACAUCGGAAUCUACUUUUUCGUGGGGGAUAACGUAGGGAAACUUACGCUAAUACCGCAUACGACCUACGGGUGAAAGCAGGGGAUCUUCGGACCUUUCGCGAUUGAAUGAGCCGAUGUCGGAUUAGCUAGUUGGCGGGGUAAAGGCCCACCAAGGCGACGAUCCGUAGCUGGUCUGAGAGGAUGAUCAGCCACACUGGAACUGAGACACGGUCCAGACUCCUACGGGAGGCAGCAGUGGGGAAUAUUGGACAAUGGGCGCAAGCCUGAUCCAGCCAUACCGCGUGGGUGAAGAAGGCCUUCGGGUUGUAAAGCCCUCUUGUUGGGAAAGAAAAGCAGCAGGUUAAUACCCCGCUGUUCUGACGGUACCCAAAGAAUAAGCACCGGCUAACUUCGUG